GUUUGAUCCUGGCUCAGAACGAACGCUGGCGGCGUGUCUUAAGCAUGCAAGUCGAACGAUAACUUGAAGCUUGCUUCAAGGGACAGUGGCAAACGGGUGAGUAACACGUGGGUAACCUGCCUUCGGAUGGGGGAUAGCAUUAGGAAACUAGUGGUAAUACCGCAUAACACCGAUUGGUCAUAAGACCGCUCGGUCAAAGGCGCUUUCGGGCGUCGUCUGGAGAUGGGCCCGCGGACUAUUAGCUUGUUGGUAGGGUAAUGGCCUACCAAGGCAACGAUGGAUAGCCGGCCUGAGAGGGUGUACGGCCACAUUGGGACUGAGAUACGGCCCAGACUCCUACGGGAGGCAGCAGCUAAGAAUAUUCCGCAAUGGGCGCAAGCCUGACGGAGCGACGCCGCGUGGAGGAUGAAGGCUUUCGGGUUGUAAACUCCUUUUCUUAGGGAAGAAUAAAGUUGGCAGGAAAUGGCCGACCGAUGACGGUACCUAAGGAAUAAGCCCCGGCUAAUUACGUGCCAGCAGCCGCGGUAAUACGUAUGGGGCAAGCGUUGUUCGGAUUCACUGGGCGUAAAGGGCGUGUAGGCGGUGUGGUAAGUCGGAUGUGAAAUCUCCAGGCUCAACCUGGAAACUGCAUUCGAAACUGCCAUGCUUGAGUACCGGAGAGGGAAACGGAAUUCCUGGUGUAGGGGUGAAAUCUGUAGAUAUCAGGAAGAACACCGGUGGCGAAGGCGGUUUCCUGGCCGGAUACUGACGCUGAGGCGCGAAAGCUAGGGGAGCAAACAGGAUUAGAUACCCUGGUAGUCCUAGCUGUAAACGUUGUGCACUAGGUGUAAGUGGUUUCAACCCACUUGUGCCGUAGCUAACGCAUUAAGUGCACCGCCUGGGGAGUAUGCUCGCAAGGGUGAAACUCAAAGGAAUUGACGGGGGCCCGCACAAGCGGUGGAGCAUGUGGUUUAAUUCGAUGAUACGCGAAGAACCUUACCAGGGUUUGACAUGCAGUCGACGGGAGCAGAGAUGUUCCUUUCUUUCGGGACGGCUGCACAGGUGCUGCAUGGCUGUCGUCAGCUCGUGUCGUGAGAUGUUGGGUUAAGUCCCGCAACGAGCGCAACCCUUACUCUAUGUUGCCAUCAGGCCGUAAGGUGCUGGGCACUCUUAGGGUACUGCCGGUGACAAACCGGAGGAAGGUGGGGACGACGUCAAAUCAUCAUGGCCCUUAUGCCCUGGGCUACACACGUGCUACAAUGGCUGGUACAAAGAGUUGCAAGACCGCGAGGUGGAGCUAAUCUCAAAAAACCAGCCCCAGUACAGAUUGAAGUCUGAAACUCGACUUCAUGAAGGUGGAAUCGCUAGUAAUCGCGCAUCAGCACGGCGCGGUGAAUACGUUCCCGGGCCUUGUACACACCGCCCGUCACACCACCCGAGUUGGGGAUACCCGAAGUCGCUAUCUUAACCUUCGGGGGAGAGGCGCCGAAGGUAUGCCUGGUAAGGGGGGUGAAGUCGGAACAAGGUAGCCGUACUGGAAAGUGCGGCUGGAUCACCUCCUU
This 1541-nucleotide ribosomal RNA is filed under the name uncultured prokaryote. RNAcentral's name for it is "partial 16S ribosomal RNA". It matches the Rfam family "Bacterial small subunit ribosomal RNA". The record is from RNAcentral.